GAUGAACGCUGACAGAAUGCUUAACACAUGCAAGUCAACUUGAACUUCGGUUUGGGUGGCGGACGGGUGAGUAACGCGUAAAGAACUUGCCUCACAGUUAGGGACAACAUUUGGAAACGAAUGCUAAUACCUGAUAUUAUGAUUUUAGGGCAUCCUAGAAUUAUGAAAGCUAUAUGCGCUGUGAGAGAGCUUUGCGUCCCAUUAGCUAGUUGGAGAGGUAACGGCUCACCAAGGCGAUGAUGGGUAGCCGGCCUGAGAGGGUGAACGGCCACAAGGGGACUGAGACACGGCCCUUACUCCUACGGGAGGAAGCAGGGGGAAAAAUUGGAAAAGGGAACAAGAGUUUGAUCCAGCAAUUCUUGGGGAACGAAGAAGUUUUUCGGAAUGAAAAGGGUUUUCAGUUGGGAAAAAAAAAAUGACGGUACCAACAGAAGAAGGGACGGCAAAAUACGU
RNAcentral lists this ribosomal RNA (453 nucleotides) under uncultured bacterium. Its description in RNAcentral is "partial 16S ribosomal RNA". It matches the Rfam family "Bacterial small subunit ribosomal RNA", at positions 28 to 506 of the family's 1533-position model. The record is from RNAcentral.